UGCACGGCGACUGCAGACUUGUGGUGACGAGCCUGAGGGGGAAACCGGCGCCCGGGCUCCGACUCAGCGUCCGCGGGUGGAGUCUCCUAGCGCGGCUGGUGCCUCUGCGUGGGCAGUAGAAGCUCCUACUCAGGUGGCCUUCACACCUGUCGUAGCCGUCUGGCCCUGGGAAGGGGGCUUCAGUGUUUCCUCCGAGUUUAUGAGGCGCAAAUUAUUCCCGGGGCGUCCUUACUCCGUUAUUGAAUUUCUGCCACUCACUCAGCGUCAAAUUGGUUGACAGAAGCGCCCGCCAAUCUCGUUUUCUUCAAAAUCUGCCCAAUUGACUGACGUAGAAAUUUUUCAAGAUAACGUUUCCUUCCUGAGGAGGCACCCGGUUGUGAGCUCCAGUGGCGGUGACUGCUUUGAAUUUGGCUUCUUCGGACGGCAGCCGGGUGAAUAAGUUUCCACAAUGGGAAAGUCCCUGAGAAAUAAGAUUUAAGGAACAGGAAAAGGCACCUCUGUCCACAAUUACCUUACCUGAAAUUGCCAAUUUAAGGUAAUGAAGUAGAUUCCGAAAAGAAACGAAAGGAAGAGACAGAGGGAGAAAAAUCUGGAAAAGAGGGAAGUUAAGCCUACAGCUGCAGCAAAAACCCUCCAGAGAACCAUGUUUACAGCUGUAGUCAUUCUGGAUCUUAACAGUAAGAAUCAGUGAUCCUGUUCAGUGAGUAACAGUUCGUAUGGUGCUCAUAACAUGAACAGGCUCUGAAGCUGGCGGCCAAGAGGAGUUCAGAGGAAUAGUGAUUAUGGAGUGUAAAGUAACAUCAGCAAACAUAGCUGACGCCUGGGAAGACUCCUGCUCCUCAAUCAGUUGCAGGAAGGAUAGGAAGAGAAGUGAAAUAUCACAUGAAAAGAAGUUUCAGGAAGAUACCAGCACGGGCUCCAGGAACAGGCUGUCUCAGUAAAUCCUGCCCCUUCAGAAGCACAGUGAGUAGUCCUGCUGACUGUAGAAAUCAGCAGCCUUUUAAACCUCUAAGUAAAAUGAUGAUGUUAAGUAUCUAUUCUUUCUUACAAUGAAAAAACUUAAAAUCUUAGAAUUCCAACUUAAACUCAGCCAGUGGGCAACCUACUUGAAAAUGACUGCACAUCCACGUCUAA
Molecule: non-coding RNA, 1134 nt
Organism: Vicugna pacos (alpaca)
Lineage: Eukaryota; Metazoa; Chordata; Mammalia; Artiodactyla; Camelidae
Source: RefSeq, a predicted model, not a curated record